Mizuhopecten yessoensis (Yesso scallop) is the source of this 3299-nucleotide long non-coding RNA. RefSeq lists it as uncharacterized. The transcript is spliced from 3 exons. NCBI's taxonomy places the organism in Eukaryota, Metazoa, Mollusca, Bivalvia, Pectinida, Pectinidae. The record is from RefSeq and is a predicted model, not a curated record.
CACGCGAAUGAAUAUAUGGCCACGCACGUGAUCAAGUUCACCAAUGAAAUUGCUCAUAAAUAUGGACAGCCAAUCAGAUUUGGUAAGACAGUCACAACUAUCGCAUUUUGACGUUUCGGCGGGAGUAUACCAUGGUGAGAAUAUUAACCGACAGGGCUGGACGUGAUACCAAAAAUACAAUACCUCGAUGGCAGUACUGGAGCUGUGGGUAGCAGAUUCCUUGUAGGCUGAACUAGAGCAGGGAUGGAGCAGAGAUACCUCGAUAGGCUGUACUGGAUGCGGAGGAGUUGCUGCCGACAUACCACAAAGACUGUACUGGAUGCGGAGGAGUUGCUGCCGACAUACCACAAAGACUGUACUGGAUGUGGAGCACUUGACCGGGCAUCGGUCAGGUAUUUCCUUCGGGACUACGGUAAUAUUCUUUCUUUUCUCCUUCUGUUGUAAGAAUGAAGGAAAUGUGUCAGAUCUAAAAAUCUAAACAUGUGGGCAUGUCAAUUCCGCCAAAUGUGGAUUUGAUCAUGCCAUACACCCGCAUGUGGCAAGAAUGAUAUUGUAUUCGAUGAUGCAAGAUUUUCCUUCUCUGAAGAUUUGUGAAACUUGAGUUGAAUGUGGGGCGAAUGGACUUGAUAGAUCAACAGCGCUUAUAAUUUGAUUGACAUGAGAGGUAUAGUGUUUGGAUAGGCCGACUUUGAUUCUUUUUUCUGACCAUUGCCUGUCCUUCAGCUACAACAGAUGUACUGUUAUUACAAGCAAUAGUGCUUUGUAUUGAACAGUACGCGGCCUGAUGACGAAUGUCAGAAGAUAUCGUUUUUAUAUGUGGCGGCGGUAAUGUAUCACCGAUUUUACCAAAAUUUGGUUUGGUAAAACGAUACUAUUGCAAAUCUUUCAAAAUGAUGACACUCUGUCAGAAUAAUGUAUUGCAGAUCCUGGGGAAUGGCGGACGUUGACGACAGCCCGGGACAUGGAGCAGGGAUGGAGCAGAGAUGCCUCGAUAAGCUGUACCGGAUACAGAGGGGUUACUGCCGACAUACCUCAAUGGCUGUACUGGAUGCAGAAAACUUGACCGGGCAUAGGUCAAGUAUUUCCUUCGGGACUACGGUAAUAUUCUUUCUUUUUCUCAUUCUGUUGUAAGAAUGAAGGAAAGAUAAUACGUCAGAUCUAAAUUCCAAUAAGGCUACUUGCAAACCUUACUGGGCACUCUUGCAAUCGAACUAAUGGACAAUGCUGGUCUUUUGAUCGGGUCUUACAAACUGUGUUCUUCUCUGCUAUUACAAAUACCUUUAUGAGGAAAAUGUCUGCUAUUCUUUACAACUAUUCCUUCUCUAAACAUGUGGGCAUGUCAAGUCCGCCAAAUGUGGAUUUGAUCAUGCCAUACACCCGCAUGUGGCAAGAAUGAUAUUGUAUUUGAUGAUUUGUGAAACUUGAGUUGAAUGUGGGGCGAAUGGACUUGAUAGAUCAACAGCGCUUAUAAUUUGAUUGACAGGAGAGGUAUAGUGUUUGGAUAGGCCGACUUUGAUUCUUUUUUCUGACCAUUGCCUGUCCUUCAGCUACAACAGAUGUACUGUUAUUACAAGCAAUAGUGCUUUGUAUUGAACAGUACGCGGCCUGAUGACGAAUGUCAGAAGGUAUCGUUUUUAUAUGUGGCGGCGGUAAUGUAUCGCCGAUUUUACCAAAUAUUUGGUUUGGUAAAACGAUACUAUUGCAAAUCUUUCAAAAUGAUGACACUCUGUCAGAAUAAUGUAUUGCAGAUCCUGGGGAAUGGCGGACGUUGACGACAGCCCGGGACCUGGAUCAGGGAUGGAGCAGAGAUACCUCGAUAGGCUGUACCGGAUGCAGAGGGGUUACUGCCGACAUACCUCAAUGGCUGUACUGGAUGCAGAAAACUUGACCGGGCAUAGGUCAGGUAUUUCCUUCGGGACUUUGGUAAUAUUCUUUCUUUUCCUCAUUCUGUUGUAAGAAUGAAGGAAAGAUAAUACGUCAGAUCUAAAUUCCAGCAAGGCUACUUGCAAACCUUACUGGGCACUCUUGCAAUCGAACUAAUGGACAAUGCUGGUCUUUUGAUCGGGUCUUACAAACUGUGUUCUUCUCUGCUAUUACAAAUACCUUUAUGAGGAAAAUGUCUGCUAUUCUUUUACAACCAUUCCUUCUCUAAACAUGUGGGCAUGUCAAGUCCGCCAAAUGUGGAUUUGAUCAUGCCAUACACCCGCAUGUGGCAAGAAUGAUAUUGUAUUUGAUGAUGCAGGAUUUUCCUUCUCUGAAGAUUUGUGAAACUUGAGGUGAAUGUGGGGCGAAUGGACUUGAUAGAUCAACAGCGCUUAUAAUUUGAUUGACAUGAGAGGUAUAGUGUUUGGAUAAGCCGACUUUGAUUCUUUUUUCUGACCAUCGCCUGUCCUUCAUUCAGCUACAACAGAUGUACUGUUAUUACAAGCAAAAGUGCUUUGUAUUGAACAGUACGCGGCCUGAUGACGAAUGUCAGACAUACAACAGACUAAACCACAGGACCACUUAUGACAAACAAAGUGUAUGGAACAACAACCACUGACAGACUAGAGCAUGGGAACAACCAAACUCGACAACCUACAGCAAUCAACAUAAUUCUAGUAACAGACCAGAGGAGGGGGACAACAAAAGAUGGAAACACGACAGACAACAUGGAAAGCACAGGAACUACCAAUGACAGAACAGAAAGUAUGGUACAACCACCAGCAGCAACAGAAAAAGGAUAUGAAUCCAUGACAGACCAUAAAAUGUAGAAGAGAACGGGACCACUACAUAUUACACAAGAUAAGGGGUAGAAGACCUUGGAAUAUGAAAUCAAAACUGACCAGAGCACAGGACUACAAAUUACAGAACAGAGUAUGGUACAACCACCAGCAACAGAGUAAACUGAGGAUGGAUCAACAACCUGCAGCUGAUUGAACAAAAAACCUUCUAAAAUGACUAGAAUUAAAUGAUUGAACAGUAACAGACCAGACUAAAAUGGAUGGAUCUACCAACCUUAACCAAUGAAGAACUAGAACAACCAGUGACUACAGAAAGAAUCUCGUACCAGUCCAGUUCCAGUGUUGAUGGCACCGAUUCCUUACCAGUCGGGAGCUAAAAGGAUGCAGUAAUGAUGUACAACAGACUAUAGCACAUGACACAUAUAGGACAGACCAAAGCGUAUUGAACAACCACCAAUGACAGAUCAAAGAGUAUGGAACAACCUACAAUGACAGACCAACGAGUAUGGAACAACCACCAAUGACAGAUCAAAGAGUAUGGAACAACCACCAAUGACCGACCAAAGAGUAUGGAAC